This 11293-nucleotide long non-coding RNA is filed under the name Populus trichocarpa (black cottonwood). RNAcentral's name for it is "long non-coding RNA (PTRI_LNC000234)". The record is from RNAcentral. Lineage: Eukaryota; Viridiplantae; Streptophyta; Magnoliopsida; Malpighiales; Salicaceae.
AGACUGUCAAAGCAACUUCCAAAUAUUUUCUCACUAUAAAUAGACUGGAUUCCCUUGAAGAUCAUCAAGAAACUCCAACUUAACUUUGUUCAGCUAAAGAAAGAUAACUAGUUGGCCUACACCAAUACUUUGAUCGAAAAUUGUUUUAGAUAACAAGAGAAAGCAAGAAAUGGGUCGUUUCUCUGCCAUUUUUAGUUUCUUUGUUUCAUCAUCUUCUUCAAGGGUUGCAGAUGAAGCCCGUAAUAAGACAGAGAAAACCAAAAGCAAAUCAAAAUCAUCAGGUGCCCCAAUCGUAGUUUCUUACUUCCCCGUGAACUCAUCUCUCUCUCGCUUGUAGGAAAUUCCAUUCCAGGGAGAUGAAGAAGGGCCAUGUGGUACUUUCUAUGCCGAUAAUCGUGGACCAUCUUCGGCCUUUUUCACAAAAACCAACUGUAUGACAGUGUGGCAAUGCUGCUACGUUAGGCUUUGAAGUGAUUGUAGCAAUUAUGAGUAGCGGAAAUUCUAUCUCAAGACUAUUUCAUGCGUGAUGUUUAUGCAACUCAUCAUAUGGCUGUAGCCGGUACUGUUCUGAAUUAUUUUUUAUUUUAUGGGUAAAAUUUCUUAAAUUUUGCUUAUAUAUACUUUAAUCAGUGGAAUUCGAAGAUAGACGAACAAUGUUCGCAAUCAUUGAUAUAUAGUAUUUAUUUAUAUUAAAAUAUCUAUGAUCAAGAGUCAAGAUUAUAAAAAUCAUAGUAAAUAAAUAAUCUAGCAAUAUUGCUUUAAGAGCCACAUGCCCACAACCACCAUACAAUCAACUAAUUUGGGACUGUCGCUUGCUAAUAUAAUAUUCAACUAAGACUUAGCACACAUAUGUAUGAUUAGUAUAUAGUAUUAUAUCAGAUCUUCCUUGCUUUGGAAGCUCAGAAUAUAAAAAUCUCCCAUUUUGUGUGGUCAAAACAGCCACAACAUGUGAAAAUUGAUUUUCCUUUUCUUUCCAGGCAAAGCAUAAGCUUCUCUCGUACACUUCAUUCUUAUCUCCUUGUAAAUAGACAAGUGCCCAAGACGGUCUCCUUGAACUCAUUAUCUAAUCUUCAAUUAGUACCUUCCUCUUACUAUUCCUAAUUGUUACACUAAAAAAGCUAAUAGUACCCCAAAGUAUAUCUACUAGCAGAACUAUGGAAGAUCGUGCAAGAAGAAACUAUUCCAAUUUGUUUACUAGAGAGCUUUCUCAUCCCCGACCUCCCACCGUUGAAACUGAAGAAGAGUGAAGACUAAUUUCUCUCACUUUCAGCACCAUCAAGGGGCGGGGCUAGGAUUCAAAGAUAAAAGGGGGAAAAGUUGUCGAGAACAUGAAGUACAACAUAACAUAGUAAAAUUGAAUUAUUAAAAAUUAUAGAGGCUAUUAUUUUUACCAAAAAAAAUAAAGGGGCAGUAACUCUGCCGUUUACCCCAUGACUUGAUAUGGUUUAGUGAGACAAACAAAUUUACUAAGAAUUAACACACACGAAAUGAAAAAAAAAAAUAAGAAGAAACUAAUAUAGAAUAAAAAAAAUCAAGGAGAAUAAUCAAUAAAAGGAAAGGAAGAGGUGAAUCAAAAUAAUUAGGGAGAAGGGCACUAAACCAUGGGAUUGUUAUCGUUAUUAUUACAUCUUUGCAUCUCAUCUGUUGAGUAGUAAAUCGAUAUUGCACAUUGGUAGGUUUUAAGGAUACUGAUUUUCAAGAAUGGCAUUACCAAUACAUGUUGGGCUCUUAAGUACAAUAAACAUAGUCUUUCUUUUAUAUAUAUAUAUAGCCUAGGGUGAUGAUAAUUAUGGUUGUAAAAUUUGAUUUAAGAUUGAUUUGAAAAUCGACAACACAAAGUAAACUCAAAUCACAUUUAUGAUAAUUAUGAUUGUAAAAUCUGAAUCAGGAUUAAUUUGAGAAUCGACAAAUUUAGAAUUUAACAUGAGUUUAAGUUUUUUAAAGUAUAUACAAGUUUUAAUAUUAUUAUAAAUCUACAAUAUUAAAAUUUAAUAUCUUUUAGAGAGUUUUAGUGUAAUUACGAGAUAGUUAGUUGAUUAUAUUAGGUUUUUUCACAGAUAAAGAUAAAAAUCUUAGUUUAGUAGGAUUUAUAAUGCUAUUUAAAACCACCUUAAACAUUCGGAAUCAUGUAUAAAAAGAUAAUAAGAAAAAGUAGAGAGAAAAAGUUAUUUGUUAUGUUUUUUCUUAGAGUAAAACUUACGUGAGUUUUGUUGAAUAGUUUAACUUUAAUUCUAUAAAAAUCUAGUUUAUUUGAUUGACCUGACUUAAACUGACUCAAAGUUAAUCAGAUCAGAUAUAAAAAAAUCAAAAUAAUAUUAUUUUUAUUCAUCAUUAAAAAAAAUUAAAAAAUAAAAAAAAUUGAUUUGGUUAUGUAGAAAUUAACUCAAUGACGUAAUGACCCAAACUUUUAACUAGAUUAAAUCCAAAAACAAUUAUAGUAAUGAGAUCUUUUUGCUUCCCUAUAUAUAUAACAUUGGCUAACAUGUGCAAAAAUAUCAUCACUGUUUUGUUUUAACAUCUAUUCAUGUACAAAUAUCACAACAAGAGAUAUGUAUAUUUAGGGUUUAGCAAUGUAUGUGCUUUAGGAAUAGAAUUUCAACUAGUUAAUUGCCCACGUUGAUAAGAAACAAAUUAGCUAAAAAACGAUGAUUAGUUUAUGCAAGCGCAAUUUAAAGAAGGUGAAAAAUCAAUGUCAAAUAAUAAAAUCAAAAAAAUAAAAUAAGUCCAAAAAAGAAGCAAUGUCAACACGUGUUAACUUGCAAAACCCGUGACCCGAGUCAUUUGAAUAGAAGCAUCACAUUUGAAAAAACCAUGAAGCCCAAUUUUCAACAAAUCAAAUAUUGAAAGAUAAAAUUAAAAAAAAAUAAUCAUACAAAUGGAUAAAAAGAAAUAGGAGUUUUAUGCCAAAAAAGGCUCAAGGCCACCAAAAUCAACCCACCAAACCCAUAGGUCAGGUCAUGAGAUUGAGAUAACCUGAUUGAAAGGAAAAUGAACAAAAUCACAAUGCUAAUUUUUUAAAAAAGAAAAUAAGUUAAAGAAAAACUAUGUUAGCUUUUGUUAACUUAUAAAGCCCAUAACCCGGACUAUUUGACCAAAAAACCAAAUAUAAAAAAAACCAUAGAGCUCAAUUUUUAACAAAUCAAAUAUUGAAUGAUAAAAAUUAAAAACAAAAAUCAAUCACACAAAAUGAUCCAAAAGAAAAAAAACAAUAGCAAUUAAAAGCUAAAAUAAAAAGGCACUAGCCAACCCAAAUUAACUCAUCAAACCACGAGUCAGGUCAUGAGAUUAGUAUUAUUUAAUAUAAAGGAAAACGAAGAAAAUCAUGAAGUCUAUUUUUUAGAAGAAAAAAAACAAUGUCAAAUGAUAAAAUCGGAAAAGAAAAUAAGUAAAAAAAAAAAACAAUAUCAACCUGUGUUAGCUUCUAAAACCCAUGACCUAUGCCAUUUAAUUAGAAGCACCAAUUGUUUUACAAAACAAAAAAUCCAUGAAACUUAAUUUCCAAUAAAUCAAAAGAAUGAAGAUUCAUACUGAAAUAUAAGCAACUAAUAGGACUACCUUAAUAAUUUAAAUUGCCAUCACGAAUUUCAAGAGAGCUAAGGGAAAAAAAACAAAACUCUAACUGUGAGUGUCGUGACAUGCAUGACGUCGUGUUAAUUAUUUCUACUACAGAACGUGAAUUCAUGUUCUGCAUGCAGGUUUGAGAGCAUAGAGAAGGUUUACGUGGGAAUGAGGAAAAGAGAAGAGGUUACCUAGUAUGGAGAAGGUGCUUGGCAGUCGUUGUUGGGAGGUACGACAUGGGGAUGGUGGAGAUGUUGGUUGAUAAGUUGGGAGGUACGACAUGGGGAUGGUGGAGAUGUUGGUUGAUAAGUUGGCAGUUGGCGGGGUUGUUCUGAAGAGGUUGGUGUUGCUGGAAGAAGGAGAAGUUGAAGUUGAUCGAGGGAGGUUGCUUCUCACAAUGGAGAGAAAGAAAAUGUUGUUCUUUUGGUUGUCAUAGGUGUUCCUAUGGUUGGCCUAGAGAAGAAGAAAGGUGUUGGUCAUUUGAAAAGGCUGAUUUUUUAGCCUACUUUCUCUUGAAAUUUAUUUCCCUCUAAUGCACGAAAUACACCCUACUUAUAGGGGAUGAAAGAAGAACAUCUGGUGUUUAUUAGGGGUAAAUCUUGGCCCUUGAUUCAAAUAGAAAGGAUUUCAACCAUUAGCCAAAAAUCAUCAUCACAAGCUACGAAAUUUGGCUGCAAAAGGCUAAUCAUGCUAGCCCUUUUAGGGCAGUGCCGCGGCGUCUAUAAAGGUGACCAGACGAAAAUAGUUAUGUUGUGGUAUAGUACGGUGUCGGGCCAUCAGAGUGGUGUCCUGUUUGUCUUGUUUGGUGAAGAGAUGAGGCAUUAAAUGCCCUUAAAAAGUGGCCACCCUAGCAGUCUUUCAGGUAUAAAAGAUUAAAAAUGAUGAACAAUAGCCAGACGACAAGUCUUCUAACACCUUUUUUUUUGUUUUUGUUUUGGUCAAAAUGCACCAUUUCAUUUAAAUGAAACGACGCCGAUUUGACAUCCUUAGGGUCUUAAUUGGGGAUUUAACUAAAAUUCAAUUUAGUCAUUUGUCUUUUGAUUUUUUUAAUUGCAUCUCUAAUUGACUUCAAACUUUUAAUUUUAUGCGAUUUUGUCAUUGCAAACUUCAAAUAUCAACCCUGAAGUUCAGUGCCUUUUCACUUUGAUCCUUGAUUUUGAAUUUAUGCAAAAUGAUCCUCAAUUGACCAUUUAACUUUUAAUGUGGCUUAUGAUUAAAUCAAAUUAGCCUAUUAAAAAUCUAAUUAAUUUCUUGGACUUAAUUUUUAUGCAGAUUCGUCGAAUAAUCAUUUAAUUUGACCUUGAAUAUGCAUUAUCUCUUUAAUUUUUGAUACAAUUGGGUAUGAUUAGGCUCUCAAUUUUGUCCAAGACUCCAACUUGAUUCUCUAUACAUUUAAAACCCUCCUCAGCUUGCUAUUGUCAAAUUUUCAGUCUUGUUGUUGUUGUUGUUUAAAAAAAAAGGUAAAUUGAGGAGGGGGGAAUAGGUUAUAACAACGAGAAUCCGUCAAGAACCAACAAACAUGUGAAGUCUAUAGAGAAAAAGGACGCCACCAGGAAUCCAAUGACAGGACUAAAAAACCUUUUUCACCGUCUAAGGACAUCGCCAAAACGACACGACAUCCUUCCACUUGUCGGCACAAGCUUUGCAUGCAUAAACCACUUUUUAAACAAAAUAUUUUUUUAUUGAUGCAAAACGUAAAAUUACCCCUCAAUCAACUUUAUUAUAAUAAUAAAAAAAAACCUUGAUGAAAAUACCAAAAAAAUCUUAAAAGAAACUUAAAUAAAUUUAAUUUAAAGGGUUAUUUUGUAAAUUUAUCCUGAAAAAAUAUGAAAAUUCCAAAAAGCCGCUUUAAAUCAAUUAUUUAAAUUUUACUUUUAAAAGUAGUAUAUGUAUUUUACUGUUCAUAAAAAGGAGGGAAAACACUGGGGUGCCCUCGGACAAAUUGAAAAUGACAAAUGGAAGAUGAAGAAAAGACUAUUUUAUCUAUGAAUGAAGACUUCUUAGCUGAUUUGUUAAAAGAAAAAAUUAUAAAUUCACUAUUACAGCCCACAGUGUUUUUCUCUCUGGUCUCCAAUAAUUUUUCCCAUAAAUUAACUGUUACUGUCCACGGUGUUUUUCUCUCUGGCCCUGCAAUAAUUUUGCCCAUAACUUGGUUGUUUUGUUAAUUUUUUGCCCCCUCCACACCCCUGUUGACUCUGCCCUGACGAAAUUAGGCUAACAUAAAGAAAUUAUUACAUAAACUAAGUUCAUCACAUCACAUGAGGCAUAAACUAAAUUAAUAAACAUGGGACAUACAGGGGAAAAUACAGAGAUUUUUGUUGAUCAUGAUGCAUUUCACAUAAUUUUAUCUACAUGUCUUCUAUUUAUUAGUAUAGCCUAUAAGUGAUAUGGUAAAUUUAGCGUGUGUAAUCAUUUCUCGUCUAUCCUAACCUGGCAUGUUCUCAUUUCAUUUUAUUUUAUAUUUUUUAGAUUAAACUAGUUACAUGCCCCGCGCGAUGCCGCGAGUCAAUUAUUUUUUGCAUUUUAAAAAUAGCCAAGAUCUAAAAGUGUUAGGUUUUUUUGCAAAGUUAUAUCCAAGAAUCUCAGGUUUGGUUGCAACGCCUGACCCAAGAGUAAUGUUUAUAAUAUUAAUAAUAACAUUAAACUUGGGUUAACCCUUAGCAUAAAAGUGUCUGGACUGCAAUACCAGACCCAAUAGCAUUGGACGUGGGUCUGGCUGCAAGGUCGUAUCAUAAAAAUGUGAUAAUUAAAUAGAUUAGUUAAAAAGAAAAAAAACCAACAGGAAGAAAAAAACUAAUGAAAAAAAAGAAAAAAAAAGAUGAAUUAAUUGGGCUAACCCUUCAAACCAGGUUAACCCGUCAUACCUUGAAUUCGCAUCGUGAAAGUCUGAUAAUUAAAAAGAAAAAAACAAAUUAAUGGGUUAACCCAAAAUUAACUGGGCUAACUCGUCAAACCAAGUUAACCUGUCAAACCCGGAAUCCGUGUAAUGAAAGUUUGAUAACUAAAUAGAAAAAAAUUUAACAUCAAUUUAAAUUAAACGAAAAAAAUUAAUUAAAAAAAAAAGGCAUCAGCCUUUUCACUGUGGACUGCACUGUGCAGUUCACAGUCAAAGGCAUAAAAAAAAACUAAAGGCGUCAGCCGAGAACUACUUAGAAAAAAAUUUAAUAUUAAUAAACUAAAUUAAUUAAAUAAAUAAAAUUAAAAAGAAAAAAUAAAAGAAAAAAAACCUCUAAGAAGAAAAAAAAACUAAAUAGAAAGAAAUUUAACAUUAACAAACUAAACUAAACGAAAAAAAUAAUUAAAAAGAAAAAAAAAGCAAAAAAAAUAAAAUUCAGGUUAACUCGUCAAACCAAGUUAACCCGUUAAACCCGGGAUCCGUGUCAUGAAUGUCUGGUAACAAAAUAAAAAAAAGUGAACAUUAACAAACUGAACUAAUAAAAAAAAAUUAAUUAAAAAGAAAAAAAAUCCGGGUUAUCUCGUCAAACCAUGUUAACCUGUUAAACUCAGUAUUUGUGUCAUGAAAGUCUGAUAACUAAAUAAAAAAAAAUUUAACAUUAACAAACUAAAUUAAACAAAAAUAUUUAUAAAAAUAAUAAUAAAAAAAAAUGACGGGUCAACCCGGAAUUAACUGGGUUCACCCGUGAAACCAGGUUAACCGGUGAAACUCGGGAUAUGUGUCAUGAAAGUCUAAUAACUAAAUAGAAAGAAAUUUAACAUUAACAAACUAAACUAAACGAAAAAAAUUAAUUAAAAAAACAAAGAAAGAAGCAAAAAAAAUCCCAAAAAUCAUUAAAAAAACAGCUAAAAAAACUUAGACAACCUAAAAAAAAAAAAAAAAGAGCCUAAGGAAUCAGUGUUUUACUAUGGACUGCACAGUGCAGUCCACAGUAAAACACUGAUUCCUUUUAGCUAUUGUUAUAAUUAAGCUCUCUUACGUUGAAUAUUGAAAACGAGUAUGAAUAUUGCUACAACGGUCUAACUGUCUAGCAGAGGCUUAAUUUUCAAUAGGAAGUGACGAGUUAAAGACUUUCAUGUCUUAAAUUUUUUUCUCGAUGCAGAUUGCAGAAGGUAAACAGAAGUUGUGAUGAACUUUCUAAGUAUGUGCUGGCGUUCAAAGCAAUCACAAAAAAGAGAUAUUACUCGAGACGAGGGGUCACCUGUGUUUUGGCUAUUAGUCAAAGCAGCCACAAACCAAGAAACUUCGUAUUUCCUUGCACAGCACUGUCCAAGCAACUUCCAAAUAUUUGCUCACUAUAAAUUGACAGCAUUCCCUUGAAAAUCAUCAAGAAACUCCCACUUAACAUUUUUCAGCAAAAGAAAGCUAACUAGUUGGCCUACAGUGUCUUCACCAAUACUACUUCAUCGAAAACUGUUUUAGAUAACAAGAGAAAGCAAGAAAUGGGUCAUUUCUCAGCCAUUUUCAGUUGCUUUGUUCCAUCGGCUUCUUCAAGGGUUAUAGAUGAAGCCCAUAAGAAGGCAGAGAUUCCUAAAAGCAAAUCAAAAUCAUCAGGUGCUCCAAUCGUAGUUUCUUACUUCCCCAUGAACUCAUAUCUCUCUCGCUUGUAGCAAAUUCCAUUCCAGGAAGAUGAAGAAAGGCCAUGUGAUUGUUUAUGCAGCUCAGCAUAUGGCGGGAGCCUGUGCGGUUCUGAUUUUUUUUUUUUUUUUUUUAUGGAUAUGUUAUUUUAUUUGUUGCAAUAUCUAGGUAUUGCAAGAAUUGCUUAUCCUGUAAAGAAAACAAAGGAUGAAUACAAAAUCAUAUAUAAUUUUGUCCCGAAGUAAGAGUAAAAUUUAUGGAGUCCACCUCUCAAAUCAUUCACCCAUUAAAUUUAUUUGCAAAAUCUUAAUCCUACAGAUCCUGCACACCCCUAGAAACUUGCAAGCUUACAUCUAGUUUUUUAUUUUUGUAAUUGUGAAAUUGAUCAAAUAAUUUAUUUAAAUUGAUCAUAUUAUUUCUAUCUAGUUACUUGCAGCCCACAACUUAGUUAUAUGGUCAACCAAGUCACAAUAUUCCCCCUAAAAAUAACACAAUUUUGGAGAAUUAAUUCGAGGGCAGCAUAAAAAUUUUAGACCAGGUCGAUGGUUUGGAUUUCAUCCCAAAGAUAAAACAAUAAAAGAGUAAAAACUUAUCUUUUUAAGGGUUUUGAAAUUUCGGAUGUCUAUUUGUAGAUAAAAAAUCUUGAGGUAAAGAUCCAUGUGUAAGUUGUAAGAAAAUAUCUCAUACUAAAACAAUAAAAGAAAAACAACCAAGUAGUUUAUAGGCAAGAACGACGAAACCAACACCUAAUAAUUUAGAUUUUUUGGUAAAGAUGAUGUCUAUUCAUUAAUCUAAGCCCUCGACUGGCCUUGCAAAAUCUUCAUUUUCGAGAGGAUGUCUAUAUAUAUAUAUCAAAUAAAAUAUAGUGGUCCACAUGGUUUUAUCUAUUUGUCUUAUUAUAUUUAUUCAUCUAGUCUAUGAGGAAAAUGAUAAACUUCCGUCCUGUUUGUUUUGCUGGAAACUAGUUUUUUUUUGAAAAAUAGUUUUACUGAAAAGUAAAUUCCUGAAAAGUGAAUUAUUUUUUGGUAUUUGAAAGUGUCAUGAAAAUAAGUUGAAAAAUAUUUUUUAGUAUUUAGUUAUGACAUGGAAAAUGAGCUGAAAAAUAACUUAUUAAUUUUUUAAAAAACAUUAUUAAAAUAAUAAGAAACAAAUCUUACAAAUUAAAAAGUUGAAUGAGAAUGAAAUUGAAAAAAAAAUCUAAUUUCAUAAAUUAUCUCAAAUAAAAUAAAUAACAAUCAAAAUAAUGGAGAUCAAAUUUAACAGAUAAAAAAAAUAAAAUAUGAUGAAAUUACAAUAAUUAUAAUUAUAAUUUCAUAAAUUAUUUAAAAUAAAAUAAGUAACAAUCAAAAGAAUGAGAACUAAAUUUGAUAGAUAAAAAAUUUUAAUUAAAAAAAUAAUAAGAAAAAAAAUAACAAUCAUGAAAAUAAGGACCAAAGUUAAUAUAAAAAUCAAAUUAAAUCAAAUUUUAAGAGGUGAAAUUGAAGAAAAAAAUAUUCAAAACAAAAUAUAUUCAAUCAAAAAUUUGAUGAUCAAAUUUGUUAUAAUCAGUAAAUAAUAUGAUAUUUUUAAAUUUCUCACAACUUCUGGAAAGUGUUUUCCGCCCAAAAUAAAAGGAAAAUAUUUUUCUGAAAAUCAAACUAAAUUUUUUUUAACUGAAAAGUGUUUUCCAUUGACUAAUUUUCCUAAUAUAAUAAAUAAACAAAAAAUUAAUUUAAAAAUAAUUUCUAAAAAUCUAUUUUUAACAUAGCAACUUUUUAUUUUAGUUUUUAGUUGUUUUAGUUAAUUAAGCUCUCUCACGUACUUACAUAAUAAAUAAACACAAAAAUAAUUUAAAAAUAAUUUCUAAAAAUCUAUUUUUAACAUAGCAGCUUUUUAUUUUAUUUUAUAGUUUUUUUUUGUUAAUUAAGCUCUCUCACGUACGUUGAAUCCUGAAACCGUGUAUUCUGCCGGUGUUUGCUACACGCCGGUCCAACGAGCUAGGACAGGCUUAAUUAUCAAAUAGAAAGUGACAAUUGAAAGACUUUCAUGUCUUAAUUCAUGACUAGAUGCAGAUUGCAAAAUGUAAACAAAAAUUGUCAUGAACUUUCUAAGCAUGUGCUGCUGGUGUUCAAAGCAAGCACAAAAAAGAAACACGGGAUCAGCGGUGGCUAUUAGUCAAAGCAGCCACAAACCAAGAAACUUGUAUUUCCUUGCACAACAAGACUGUCAAAGCAACUUCCAAAUAUUUUCUCACUAUAAAUAGACUGGAUUCCCUUGAAGAUCAUCAAGAAACUCCAACUUAACUUUGUUCAGCUAAAGAAAGAUAACUAGUUGGCCUACACCAAUACUUUGAUCGAAAAUUGUUUUAGAUAACAAGAGAAAGCAAGAAAUGGGUCGUUUCUCUGCCAUUUUUAGUUUCUUUGUUUCAUCAUCUUCUUCAAGGGUUGCAGAUGAAGCCCGUAAUAAGACAGAGAAAACCAAAAGCAAAUCAAAAUCAUCAGGUGCCCCAAUCGUAGUUUCUUACUUCCCCGUGAACUCAUCUCUCUCUCGCUUGUAGGAAAUUCCAUUCCAGGGAGAUGAAGAAGGGCCAUGUGGUACUUUCUAUGCCGAUAAUCGUGGACCAUCUUCGGCCUUUUUCACAAAAACCAACUGUAUGACAGUGUGGCAAUGCUGCUACGUUAGGCUUUGAAGUGAUUGUAGCAAUUAUGAGUAGCGGAAAUUCUAUCUCAAGACUAUUUCAUGCGUGAUGUUUAUGCAACUCAUCAUAUGGCUGUAGCCGGUACUGUUCUGAAUUAUUUUUUAUUUUAUGGGUAAAAUUUCUUAAAUUUUGCUUAUAUAUACUUUAAUCAGUGGAAUUCGAAGAUAGACGAACAAUGUUCGCAAUCAUUGAUAUAUAGUAUUUAUUUAUAUUAAAAUAUCUAUGAUCAAGAGUCAAGAUUAUAAAAAAUCAUAGUAAAUAAAUAAUCUAGCAAUAUUGCUUUAAGAGCCACAUGCCCACAACCACCAUACAAUCAACUAAUUUGGGACUGUCGCUUGCUAAUAUAAUAUUCAACUAAGACUUAGCACACAUAUGUAUGAUUAGUAUAUAGUAUUAUAUCAGAUCUUCCUUGCUUUGGAAGCUCAGAAUAUAAAAAUCUCCCAUUUUGUGUGGUCAAAACAGCCACAACAUGUGAAAAUUGAUUUUCCUUUUCUUUCCAGGCAAAGCAUAAGCUUCUCUCGUAC